This 158-nucleotide ribosomal RNA is filed under the name uncultured bacterium. RNAcentral's name for it is "partial 16S ribosomal RNA". It matches the Rfam family "Bacterial small subunit ribosomal RNA", at positions 332 to 507 of the family's 1533-position model. The record is from RNAcentral.
AGUGAUCCUACGGGAGGCAGCAGUGAGGAAUCUUGCGCAAUGGGCGAAAGCCUGACGCAGCCAUGCCGCGUGAAUGAUGAAGGUCUUAGGAUUGUAAAAUUCUUUCACCGGGGACGAUAAUGACGGUACCCGGAGAAGAAGCCCCGGCUAACUUCGUG